Molecule: ribosomal RNA, 506 nt
Filed under: uncultured bacterium
Lineage: Bacteria
Description: partial 16S ribosomal RNA
Rfam family: Bacterial small subunit ribosomal RNA
Source: RNAcentral
AUUGAACGCUGGCGGCAGGCCUAACACAUGCAAGUCGAGCGGUAGCACAAUGGAGCUUGCUCCCCGGGUGACGAGCGGCGGACGGGUGAGUAAUGUCUGGGAAACUGCCUGAUGGAGGGGGAUAACUACUGGAAAUGGUAGCUAAUACCGCAUAACGUCGCAAGACCAAAGAUGGGGACCUUCGGGCCUCACGCCAUCGGAUGCGCCCAGAUGGGAUUAGGUAGUAGGUGGGGUAACGGCUCACCUAGGCGACGAUCCCAAGUUGGUCUGAGAGGAGGAGCAGCCACCCUGGAACUGAGACACGGUCCAGACUACUACGGGAGGCAGGAGUGGGGAAUAUUGCACAAUGGGAGCAAGCAUGAUGCAGCCAUGCCGCGUGUGUGAAGAAGGCCUUGGGGUUGUAAAGCACUUCCAGCGAGGAGGAAGGCAUUAAGGUUAAUAACCUUGACGAUUGACGUUACUCGAAGAAGAAGCACCGGCUAACUCCGUGCCAGCCGCCGCCGUAA